UACGUAGGUGGCAAGCGUUGUCCGGAAUUAUUGGGCGUAAAGCGCGCGCAGGCGGUCCUUUAAGUCUGAUGUGAAAGCCCACGGCUCAACCGUGGAGGGUCAUUGGAAACUGGGGGACUUGAGUACAGAAGAGAAGAGUGGAAUUCCACGUGUAGCGGUGAAAUGCGUAGAGAUGUGGAAGAACACCAGUGGCGAAGGCGACUCUUUGGUCUGUAACUGACGCUGAGGCGCGAAAGCGUGGGGAGCAAACAGG
RNAcentral lists this ribosomal RNA (253 nucleotides) under uncultured bacterium. Its description in RNAcentral is "partial 16S ribosomal RNA". It matches the Rfam family "Bacterial small subunit ribosomal RNA", at positions 524 to 776 of the family's 1533-position model. The record is from RNAcentral.